UAGGGAAUCUUCGGCAAUGGAGAAAGGUCUGACCGAGCAACGCCGCGUGAGUGAAGAAGGUUUUCGGAUCGUAAAACUCUGUUGGUAGAGAAGAACGUUGGUGAGAGUGGAAAGCUCAUCAAGUGACGGUAACUACCCAGAAAGGGACGGCUAACUACGUGCCAG
Molecule: ribosomal RNA, 165 nt
Filed under: uncultured bacterium
Lineage: Bacteria
Description: partial 16S rRNA
Rfam family: Bacterial small subunit ribosomal RNA
Source: RNAcentral